AUACGGAGGAUGCGAGCGUUAUCCGGAUUUAUUGGGUUUAAAGGGAGCGUAGGUGGGAUAUUAAGUCAGCUGUGAAAGUUUGGGGCUCAACCUUAAAAUUGCAGUUGAUACUGGUUUCCUUGAGUACGGUACAGGUGGGCGGAAUUCGUUGUGUAGCGGUGAAAUGCAUAGAUAUGACGAAGAACACCGAUUGCGUAGGCAGCUGACCAGACCGCAAAUGACGCUCAUGCACGAAAGUGCGGGGAUCGAACAGGAUUAGAUACCCUGGUAGUCCGCACAGUAAACGAUGAAUACUUGUUUUCGGCGAUAUAAUGUCGGAGGCAAAGCGAAAGCGAUAAGUAUUCCACCUGGGGAGUACGCCGGCAACGGUGAAACUCAAAUGAAUUGGCGGGG
This 393-nucleotide ribosomal RNA is filed under the name uncultured bacterium. Its description in RNAcentral is "partial 16S ribosomal RNA". It matches the Rfam family "Bacterial small subunit ribosomal RNA", at positions 523 to 918 of the family's 1533-position model. The record is from RNAcentral.